This 1185-nucleotide ribosomal RNA is filed under the name Teloschistes exilis. RNAcentral describes it as "partial 18S ribosomal RNA". It matches the Rfam family "Eukaryotic small subunit ribosomal RNA", at positions 146 to 1283 of the family's 1831-position model. Lineage: Eukaryota; Fungi; Ascomycota; Lecanoromycetes; Teloschistales; Teloschistaceae. The record is from RNAcentral.
CCUGUGGUAAUUCUACAGCUAAUACAUGCUGAAAACCUCAACUUCGGAAGAGGUGUAUUUAUUAGAUAAAAAACCAAUGCCCUUCGGGGCUCCUUGGUGAUUCAUAAUAACUUAACGAAUCGCAUGGCCUUGCGCCGGCGAUGGUUCAUUCAAAUUUCUGCCCUAUCAACUUUCGAUGGUAAUGUCUUGGAUUACCAUGGUGUCUACGGGUAACGGGGAAUUAGGGUUCUAUUCCGGAGAGGGAGCCUGAGAAACGGCUACCACAUCCAAGGAAGGCAGCAGGCGCGCAAAUUACCCAAUCCCGACACGGGGAGGUAGUGACAAUAAAUACUGAUGCAGAGCUCUUUUGGGUUUUGCAAUUGGAAUGAGUACAAUUUAAAUCCCUUAACGAGGAACAAUUGGAGGGCAAGUCUGGUGCCAGCAGCCGCGGUAAUUCCAGCUCCAAUAGCGUAUAUUAAAGUUGUUGCAGUUAAAAAGCUCGUAGUUGAAACUUGGGCCUGGCUGGCCGGUCCGCCUCACCGCGUGCACCGGUCCGGCCGGGCCUUUCCUUCUGGGGAGCCGCAUGCCCUUCAUUGGGUGUGCCGGGGAACCAGGACUUUUACUUUGAAAAAAUUAGAGUGUUCAAAGCAGGCCUAUGCUCGAAUACAUUAGCAUGGAAUAAUAGAAUAGGACGUGUGGCUCUAUUUUGUUGGUUUCUAGGACCUCCGUAAUGAUUAAUAGGGAUAGUCGGGGGCAUCUGUAAAACCGUCGCAGCUCUGCGCCUUUGUUACAAUGCUCUAUACGAGUGGUGGGAAAAUGUCCUCGGCCACGCGCCGGAAACAUUGUAAAUCAGAGUCCGUCUAACGGGCUAUACACCUAUAUUGCGGGAAACUUCCGGUAGCUAGCGGACACUUCCCCGCGAUUCGAAAGAUCCGGGUACAGUAACAGUGCUGUUUUUGCUCUUAAGGAAUUAUCCGCAGCCCGGUUUCUAAUGGGAUAUGCUCCCUAUGAAACCUGGUUCAGAGAUCAAAUUGGUGUAGAAAGGAAUUCCUUUUUAAAUUGUGAUCCAUUCUGCGGCUUAUGCUGCUGGAACAGUUAUGGGAGCCUGCGGCUUAAUUUGACUCAACACGGGGAAACUCACCAGGUCCAGACAUAAUAAGGAUUGACAGAUUGAGAGCUCUUUCUUGAUCUUAUGGGUGGUGGUGA